AGUGAACGCUGGCGGUAGGCCUAACACAUGCAAGUCGAACGGCAGCACAGUAAGAGCUUGCUCUUACGGGUGGCGAGUGGCGGACGGGUGAGGAAUACAUCGGAAUCUACUUUUUCGUGGGGGAUAACGUAGGGAAACUUACGCUAAUACCGCAUACGACCUACGGGUGAAAGCAGGGGAUCUUCUGACCUUGCGCGAUUGAAUGAGCCGAUGUCGGAUUAGCUAGUUGGCGGGGUAAAGGCCCACCAAGGCGACGAUCCGUAGCUGGUCUGAGAGGAUGGUCAGCCACACUGGAACUGAGCCAGGGUCCAGACUCCUACGGGAGGCAGCAGUGGGGAAUAUUGGACAAUGGGCGCAAGCCUGAUCCAGCCAUACCGCGUGGGUGAAGAAGGCCUUCGGGUUGUAAAGCCCUUUUGUUGGGAAAGAAAAGCAGCAGGUUAAUACCCCGCUGUUCUGACGGUACCCAAAGAAUAAGCACCGGCUAACUUCGUC
This 492-nucleotide ribosomal RNA is filed under the name uncultured bacterium. RNAcentral's name for it is "partial 16S ribosomal RNA". It matches the Rfam family "Bacterial small subunit ribosomal RNA", at positions 29 to 507 of the family's 1533-position model. The record is from RNAcentral.